AUUUGCGAGAGUUUAGCAGUUAAUCAGUGCGUUUGUCUGUGAGUUAAUCUCCCUGUGUAGUGGAUGGGUCCAAGUGCAAGGUCAGCUGACCGAGUUAUAAAUACCGUGGGGAAUAUGAGAGCAUGUUGUCGUUGAAAACCAGCCUGAGGUGCCGCGAGGAGAUGAGAAAAUGAACGUUUGAUUGACCUUCUGGGGAGUUCUACAAUACUGAUAAUUUAUUGCGUGGCAAAACUGAUUUCACAUUGCGUGAGUGGCAUUUCAUUCUGGCACAGGCACAUCUGAAGAAUGCAUGGAAUAAAAACAACGCUAAAUGGGAUUUUGCCAUGCCGACCCUGGAACAAAUUUUUGGCCAUUUCUCUCUCCUUCUCCCCACCCCCUCUCGUGAACUCCGCUGACCCUGGGGCCUAGGCGCAGACGGAUGUCAAUGUGCCUGUCCCAAAACAUGACCCAGGCACAUGGUUGCCUGACAGGGAUCAAAGGUCACGUCAGUAAAAUAUGACUCUAAAACUAGCUCAGUCUUCACAGACGAGUAGCCUGAGGGGGAAGAGGAAAGUACCUUUUUUUUUUACCAGGAGCAUGCACUUGAAUUUGGGGAGCAGUGUGCAUAAGAGAAAAAAAUAUUGCACUAUCUAACUGUGUUUGAUUGUUGUUUUACAUAUGACUAAAUUGCCACAGAAAAGAAAAGAAAAAUUAAAGCUUGUUUGUGAUAGAAAUGUA
Micropterus salmoides (largemouth bass) is the source of this 717-nucleotide long non-coding RNA. RefSeq lists it as uncharacterized. The transcript has 3 exons. The record is from RefSeq and is a predicted model, not a curated record. NCBI's taxonomy places the organism in Eukaryota, Metazoa, Chordata, Actinopteri, Centrarchiformes, Centrarchidae.